Molecule: non-coding RNA, 29 nt
Filed under: Bombyx mori (domestic silkworm)
Lineage: Eukaryota; Metazoa; Arthropoda; Insecta; Lepidoptera; Bombycidae
Source: RNAcentral
UAAAUCGUUGUCAAUUAACUUGUUGCCUU